UUCAGUUUAGAGCGAACUAUUGAGGCGUUUUAACGUGUUGCCGCAGUAUUUCUACGUUAGAAACGUUUACCGACGGUUUAGUUUUUCUUUUUGUUUAACAAAACAUGACAAUUGUUUAUUGGAAUUAUAGCGGUUUCUUUGCUAAUUGAACAAAGAGUUUAAUUAAACGCCCAAAUUGAUUUUUGCAAAAUUUUAUUGCAUAUUUUUAAGAGUUUAAUUAAAAUUAAAAACAGUGUGUGUGUGUGUUUGCAAAACUACUGCUCAUGCGCAAUUGAAAUAAAUAGCCAGAAAAAAUAUAAACAAAAUUUUAAUAAAUAAAUUUUGUGGCUUAGAGAAAAUCAAAACACUUUGUUGACUUUAUGGUGGAUUAUACAACAACAGGUGUUUUUUGAUAUAAGCGUUGCUAGCAAAAACAAAAAAAUUCAAAAAUAAUUGAAAAUUUAAAAAUCAAAACUCUUCACAAAAGAAAUCAAAAGGAACGUGUGUUUAAAGAAAAAAACUAAAACCAGCAACAGAAACAAAAACACUUAAAAGCGGUUAAAUAACACUCCUUAAUCUUAUUUUUAUAUAAGAAAUUAGAAAAAAUAAAUAAACAAAAAAAAAUGUUUUAAACAAAAAAAUAAAAAGAAAAGAUAAUCAUUUUGUAUUCUAAAGAAUACUACCCAUUGUAUAUUUCAGUGUUAAAAUUGUGUGUAAAGUAUCUGUUAAAUGCACAAAACAACAACAAAAAAUGUUCAAAUUGUUUUUAAGUGAAACGUGUUUAUAAUUUAGAAUUUAAACAACGGUCUUUAUUUAAAUCAAACAAAAUUUAAAAAAAUAUCUAACAAAUUUAUUAAUAAAAUAUCUAAGUGAAAAAAAUAAAUAAAAUAAAUUAAUAUAAAUAAAUAUCUGUUUAAGGCUGAUUACGUGUUUGAAAUAUUAUUAAAAAGAUAAAAAAUUUAUUUAAAUUAAAUUUAACCCCAGUAAUACUGAGAUCAUCUUCAUGUUUAACAAAAAAAGUGAAAUAAUCUGAAAGUAAAAUAUUAAAAUAUCGUGUCAUAUUAAAGCUUACAAAGUUAUUUAAUUAAAAUCGUUUUAAAAAUAACAUUUUAAAUACGGCUUAAUUCGAAAAAAAAUCAUUUGUUGACUAAAUUUGUCAUUGAUAAAUAAAUUUGUGUAAAUUUAAAUUUUUCGCUCGUAAAUUUGUGGAUUAUUUUAAAGACCCCAUCUCUUGGUUAUUAUUGUAUAUGGAAGGUGACAACAUCUUGACCAAUCAACUUUAUUAACAGCAACAAUAGAAAAUGCAUAAAAUUAUACUACAACCAGCAACUUAAUCAAAUUGAAAACUCCCUCCCCCAAAUAAAGUGAAACUUAAAUUUGGAGUUAAAAAAGCAACAAACAAACAAAACAUAAAUAUGGCCAAUAAUAAACAACAAAAUGUCAACAGCAAUUGUCAACUAUUAAAGCAACAACAACAAUAACAAAACAGAUACAAAAAUCUUAAUCCUACAAAAGUUAUCAACAUUCAUCUUUACACGUUUAUUUUUAACAAAAAAAUCAAAAAAUAAUCAAAUAAAACUUAAGUAAAACACAAAGUCCUUGAUUACAUGGCAUUAUAAUUGAAAAUUAGCCCAUCACAAGCAACGCCAACUUUAAGACCAAUUUCUGUUGUCGAUCAACCAACAUUCAGUUUACUGUGAACAGCAAUUCUGUGGAAAAAUAUAUCAGUUCAACUUUAAACAGUUUUCGUUGAGAACGUAACAUAAGGAAAUUAAACAAAAAUACACAG
Molecule: long non-coding RNA, 1768 nt
Organism: Lucilia sericata (common green bottle fly)
Lineage: Eukaryota; Metazoa; Arthropoda; Insecta; Diptera; Calliphoridae
Exons: 4
Source: RefSeq, a predicted model, not a curated record